GAUGAAGAACGCAGCGAAAUGCGAUAAGUAAUGUGAAUUGCAGAAUUCAGUGAAUCAUCGAAUCUUUGAACGCACAUUGCGCCCGCUAGUAUUCUGGCGGGCAUGCCUGUCCGAGCGUCAUUUCAACCCUCAAGCCCCCGGGCUUGGUGUUGGGGAUCGGCGAGCCUCCGCGCCCGCCGUCCCCUAAAUCUAGUGGCGGUCCCGCUGCGGCUCCCUUUGCGUAGUAACUCACCUCGCACUGGACCGGGCGGCGGCUCGCCGUAAAACCCCAACUCACGAAAUGUUGACCUCGGAUCAGGUAGGAAUACCCGCUGAACUUAAGCAUAUCAAUAAGCGGAGGA
This 341-nucleotide unclassified non-coding RNA is filed under the name soil metagenome. RNAcentral describes it as "partial contains 5.8S ribosomal RNA, internal transcribed spacer 2, and large subunit ribosomal RNA". The stretch from base 1 to 120 matches the Rfam family "5.8S ribosomal RNA", at positions 35 to 154 of the family's 154-position model. The record is from RNAcentral.